This 253-nucleotide ribosomal RNA is filed under the name uncultured bacterium. Its description in RNAcentral is "partial 16S ribosomal RNA". It matches the Rfam family "Bacterial small subunit ribosomal RNA", at positions 524 to 776 of the family's 1533-position model. The record is from RNAcentral.
UACGUAGGGUGCGAGCGUUGUCCGGAAUUAUUGGGCGUAAAGGGCUCGUAGGCGGUUUGUCGCGUCGGGAGUGAAAACCUUGGGCUUAACUCAGGGCUUGCUUUCGAUACGGGCAGACUAGAGGUAUGCAGGGGAGAACGGAAUUCCUGGUGUAGCGGUGAAAUGCGCAGAUAUCGGGAGGAACACCGGUGGCGAAGGCGGUUCUCUGGGCCUUACCUGACGCUGAGGAGCGAAAGCGUGGGGAGCGAACAGG